This 395-nucleotide unclassified non-coding RNA is filed under the name soil metagenome. RNAcentral describes it as "partial contains 5.8S ribosomal RNA, internal transcribed spacer 2, and large subunit ribosomal RNA". The stretch from base 1 to 120 matches the Rfam family "5.8S ribosomal RNA", at positions 35 to 154 of the family's 154-position model. The record is from RNAcentral.
GAUGAAGAACGCAGCGAAAUGCGAUAAGUAAUGUGAAUUGCAGAAUUCAGUGAAUCAUCGAAUCUUUGAACGCACCUUGCGCUCCUUGGUAUUCCGAGGAGCAUGCCUGUUUGAGUGUCAUUAAAUUCUCAACCAUUAUCAACUUUUGCUGAUAAUGGCUUGGAUGUGGGGGUCUAUUUUGCUGGAUUCUCAGAUAGUCAGCUCCCCUUAAAUGCAUUAGCCGGUGCCCCGCGUGGACUGUCUAUUGGUGUGAUAAUUAUCUACGCUAUGGACAUCUGCAAUCAUAUGGGUUUGCGCUGCUUCUAACAGUCUGUUGAUUCAGACAAUACAUGACAAUUUGACCUCAAAUCAGGUAGGACUACCCGCUGAACUUAAGCAUAUCAAUAAGCGGAGGA